This 1436-nucleotide ribosomal RNA is filed under the name Microbacteriaceae bacterium VKM Ac-2854. RNAcentral's name for it is "bacterial SSU rRNA". It matches the Rfam family "Bacterial small subunit ribosomal RNA". The record is from RNAcentral. Lineage: Bacteria; Bacillati; Actinomycetota; Actinomycetes; Micrococcales; Microbacteriaceae.
UUUACGGAGAGUUUGAUCCUGGCUCAGGACGAACGCUGGCGGCGUGCUUAACACAUGCAAGUCGAACGAUGAAGGGGAGCUUGCUUCCUGGAUUAGUGGCGAACGGGUGAGUAACACGUGAGUAACCUGCCCUUGACUCUGGGAUAAGCGCUGGAAACGGCGUCUAAUACCGGAUACGACCUACCCCGGCAUCGGGUGUGGGUGGAAAGUUUUUCGGUCAAGGAUGGACUCGCGGCCUAUCAGCUUGUUGGUGAGGUAAUGGCUCACCAAGGCGACGACGGGUAGCCGGCCUGAGAGGGUGACCGGCCACACUGGGACUGAGACACGGCCCAGACUCCUACGGGAGGCAGCAGUGGGGAAUAUUGCACAAUGGGCGAAAGCCUGAUGCAGCAACGCCGCGUGAGGGAUGACGGCCUUCGGGUUGUAAACCUCUUUUAGUAGGGAAGAAGGACUUCGGUUUGACGGUACCUGCAGAAAAAGCACCGGCUAACUACGUGCCAGCAGCCGCGGUAAUACGUAGGGUGCAAGCGUUGUCCGGAAUUAUUGGGCGUAAAGAGCUCGUAGGCGGUUUGUCGCGUCUGCUGUGAAAACCCGAGGCUCAACCUCGGGCCUGCAGUGGGUACGGGCAGACUAGAGUGCGGUAGGGGAGAAUGGAAUUCCUGGUGUAGCGGUGGAAUGCGCAGAUAUCAGGAGGAACACCGAUGGCGAAGGCAGUUCUCUGGGCCGUAACUGACGCUGAGGAGCGAAAGCGUGGGGAGCGAACAGGAUUAGAUACCCUGGUAGUCCACGCCGUAAACGUUGGGCGCUAGAUGUGGGGACCUUUCCACGGUUUCCGUGUCGCAGCUAACGCAUUAAGCGCCCCGCCUGGGGAGUACGGCCGCAAGGCUAAAACUCAAAGGAAUUGACGGGGGCCCGCACAAGCGGCGGAGCAUGCGGAUUAAUUCGAUGCAACGCGAAGAACCUUACCAAGGCUUGACAUAUACGAGAACGGGCCAGAAAUGGUCAACUCUUUGGACACUCGUAAACAGGUGGUGCAUGGUUGUCGUCAGCUCGUGUCGUGAGAUGUUGGGUUAAGUCCCGCAACGAGCGCAACCCUCGUUCUAUGUUGCCAGCACGUUAUGGUGGGAACUCAUAGGAGACUGCCGGGGUCAACUCGGAGGAAGGUGGGGAUGACGUCAAAUCAUCAUGCCCCUUAUGUCUUGGGCUUCACGCAUGCUACAAUGGCCGGUACAAAGGGCUGCGAUACCGUAAGGUGGAGCGAAUCCCAAAAAGCCGGUCUCAGUUCGGAUUGAGGUCUGCAACUCGACCUCAUGAAGUCGGAGUCGCUAGUAAUCGCAGAUCAGCAACGCUGCGGUGAAUACGUUCCCGGGCCUUGUACACACCGCCCGUCAAGUCAUGAAAGUCGGUAACACCCGAAGCCGGUGGCCUAACCUUUU